GCUCUGACAAUUAAAAAAAGUUAAUUUAUUUAAUAGUUAUGUUUUUCUCUCUCUCUCAUUAAGUAUGUCAUCUUUUAUAACAUUUUCGGGGCUAUUUUCAUAAAACGUUUCUCAGUGGAAGGGUACGAGACAAAUCAUUACAGUUCAAGGACAUCCAAGCAAAUGAGGAGCUCAGGAGAGCUAAAAUAGAUGGAGCAAUAACAUGGCUACGGACAGAAUUGCUGGAGAUGCGAUCCCAGGACAGACAGCUUGCUAAAACAUUAUUGGACUUAAACACAGAGAUACAGCGACUAAGACAAGAAAAUGAAUCAUCAAGUCCAGACAAGAAACCAAAAGCUGUGACUAAUAACAACGACCUUAAAACACCUUUCCAUGGCAGUGAACUUCAGUGAACUGAAGAAACAGAUGCUCUCAAGCACCUGAGUUUUUAUUUUUUCUGCUGAGUCAUCUUUUCCAAAUAUCAGCAUGUUAUCUCACAAUGGACUACCAACUGUCAAUGUGCCUGUAAAACAGGAAUACAAAAUGAAUACAAAAUGUUGUCUUAUAUUAGACUAUCGUAUGUUAACAGUAGCACACUGGCAACCUAACAGAAGGCCUACGUUUUGCACUUGAGGAUAUGAGAAUAUUAUACAUAUUGAAAUAAGUGAACAUACUGUACUGGAACAUACUUAGAGUCACGUAUUGUAAAAUAGGUUUAGAGAACUUGAGCCGAGUUUGAGGAAUACAUGGAAAAAAGUGUUUGAUUGAAAUGUUUAAAUGCUUAUUUUGAAGGAAGUGCAAGGGCAAGUUAUUGGGAGGAACAGAAUCAUUUUAACGGCAUAAAACUUGCACAAAACCUUUAAAGGGUACAGUUAGUGUGUUCAUUCUGAGUUCAUUUUCUCUAAAUCUGCCCUUACCUUUGAGCUUGUCUAGAGAAUCCUAAAUGCCAAGACUGAACAACCUUCUUCAUUCCAUUUAAAUCAUGUGGCAAUGUGACCUUUCAAACAAGCUCAAAGCCAGGUAAAUGCAGAUGUAGAGACAACUGAUAAAAAGAACCUGCAGAAACGGAACCCAGAACCACUCAGCACGAUUGCAAACACCAUCAAAUAGUAAAGGAAAUUGAAAUGAUUUUUGAAGCUACAUAAUCUUUAAGAAUAAUAAUAAUAAUAUAGCUGCUCCCUCCUAUUUCUUGCAAGUUUUAAACUGUUAGAAGUGUUGCUUUCAAAUGAAGGCCCUUUGGAUGAAUUCACAAAGCCAUUGUAAUAUAUAUAUAUAUAUUUUCCACUCAGACAGUAAAUGGCUUUUUUAAUAAUUGCAGAUGUUAAACUUAAAUUUGAAUACAGAGCUUUUUAUUUCUGUUUUUAAUAGCUUCCGAUGUGAUUUCACUGCUCUUUUGUAUUAUUUAUGAAAUUACAAAAGGGAAGUGAAUUUAUAAACCUGAGGGAUCUCCCACCAUAUAUUAAUUUUUAAAUAUAAUUUUUAAACACAUUUAAAAAGCAAUGUAAUGUGAAAAUGCUUUAUAAAGAAGAUCAUAUUUAAAGAGUUGUUAUGGUUAUGAAAUUAUGAAAGAGAACACUUGACUGACACAGAAUUUAAAGUCAGUCCAACCUCCAAAUACAGUGCUACCUCUUUAUUUUGCUAUCUGACUUAAAUAAACGUAAAGAUUGAAAACAGUAAAUUACACAACGGGCCGAUCAACAAAAUAUUUCCACUGUAUUAAAACAAUAGUUUUUUUCUAUUUCAUUUAUCAUGCACAGUUGCUACUGUUAACUUUAUACAAAUAAAGCAUGUCAAAUGUAAAGUCUGUCUUAAAAAAAUAAACAAAUAUAAUUUGAGGUUAUUUUUUAACCAUUUUUUAAAACUUUAUAGACAGUGGAAUUCUGUGUAUAACUUUGUGGUAACUUCAUACACUACCAGUACUAAAGAUUAUAUUUUACUCAGUCUGAAAGAUAACCUGUACUGUAUGUGUAUUCCCAUACUUAUGAAUUGAGAGCUUCUGAUUGACAUCUGUAUUAGUGCUGCACUAUUGAGAUGCACCUGUGCUGGCCCUGUGGGCACAAAGUGAAUAAACUAAACAGUUGUUGAAACCUCUGUGAUGGUUAUUGGUGCAUAAAUGCUCUGUCUGAACAGUGUGGUAUGAAAGCCUGACUCUUUUAGAGCAGCGGUUGCGUGUUUGCUGUGGAGCCCUGAUAACCCAGGUUUACAUCUCUUCCCUGACAUAGGACAUUCAUUACACCUUGAUUCACACAGGGUGUGCUUUCUUAGUGCUUACCUUUUAAAUUUCUAUCAAUUGUACAGUCUAUUUACAUUUAACUUCUGUAGACGUAUAUAGUUCAGAAAUUGUUUACUACUGAGUUAAUUAAAGUGAAUAUUGAUAGGCACAUGUGUAUGCUUCACCUUUUCUCGUAUGUAAUGUUUAGUCUCUUGCUGUUUAAACAUUAAAAUACACUGCAUCUAAA
Acipenser ruthenus (sterlet) is the source of this 2438-nucleotide RNA transcript. It is a transcript of the gene named alanine and arginine-rich domain-containing protein, with no coding region annotated. The record is from RefSeq and is a predicted model, not a curated record. The transcript is spliced from 3 exons. Lineage: Eukaryota; Metazoa; Chordata; Actinopteri; Acipenseriformes; Acipenseridae.